Molecule: ribosomal RNA, 422 nt
Filed under: uncultured bacterium
Lineage: Bacteria
Description: partial 16S ribosomal RNA
Rfam family: Bacterial small subunit ribosomal RNA
Source: RNAcentral
AAUCUUCCACAAUGGACGAAAGUCUGAUGGAGCAACGCCGCGUGAGCGAAGAAGGUUUUCUGAUCGUAAAGCUCUGUUGCGAGGGAAGAACAAGUACGGGAGUAACUGCCCGUACAUUGACGGUACCUCGUCAGAAAGCCACGGCUAACUACGUGCCAGCAGCCGCGGUAAUACGUAGGUGUCAAGCGUUGUCCGAAAUUAUUGGGCGUAAAGGGGGCGCAGGCGGUCCUUUAAGUCUGAUGUGAAAGCCCACGGCUCAACCGUGGAGGGUCAUUGGAAACUGGAGGACUUGAGUACAGAAGAGGAAAGCGGAAUUCCACGGGUAGCGGUGAAAUGCGUAGAGAUGUGGAGGAACACCAGUGGCGAAGGCGGCUUUCUGGUCUGUAACUGACGCUGAGGCGCGAAAGCGUGGGGAGCAAACA